This 277-nucleotide ribosomal RNA is filed under the name Choanoscolex abscisus. RNAcentral's name for it is "partial 18S ribosomal RNA". It matches the Rfam family "Eukaryotic small subunit ribosomal RNA", at positions 1505 to 1764 of the family's 1831-position model. The record is from RNAcentral. Lineage: Eukaryota; Metazoa; Platyhelminthes; Cestoda; Proteocephalidea; Monticelliidae.
GACGGUGGCAAUGAGUCUGACCUUCUGGCCCGAAAGGGUUGGGCAAACUGGUCAAUCACCGUCAUGACAGGGAUCGGGGCUUGGAAUUGUUCCCCGUGAACGAGGAAUUCCUAGUAAGUGCAAGUCAUAAGCUUGCGCUGAUUACGUCCCUGCCCUUUGUACACACCGCCCGUCGCUACUACCGAUUGAAUGGUUUAGUAAGGUCCUUGGAUUGGCGCCAUUGUGGUGGGUUGCCGUAAGGUGGUCUGCCCGAGAGGUGCUGAAAAGACGACCAAAC